UGAGUACGAGAUGCUACGGCAUCGAAGCAGUCUAUGUCAUACUUCCAAGAAAAGCUUGCAAUGUCAUAAACAAAUAAUGCCUGUACCAUAACCGACACAGGUGGGUAGGUAGAGUAUACUAAGGGGCGCGAGAUAACUCUCUCUAAGGAACUCGGCAAAAUGACUCCGUAACUUCGGGAGAAGGAGUGCCUUAUUUUUAUAAGGUUGCAAUAACAAGAUCCAAGCAACUGUUUACCAAAAACACAGGUCUCCGCUAAGUCGUAAGACGAUGUAUGGGGGCUGACGCCUGCCCAGUGCCAGAAGGUUAAAGAAGUUGGUUAGCAUUAGCGAAGCUGAUAACUGAAGCCCUGGUGAACGGCGGCCGUAACAAUAACGGUCCUAAGGUAGCGAAAUUCCUUGUCGGGUAAGUUCCGACCCGCACGAAAGGCGUAAUGAUUUGGAUACUGUCUCGGAGAGGGGCUCGGUGAAAUAGACUUGUCUGUGAAGAUGCGGACUACCUGCACCUGGACAGAAAGACCCUAUGAAGCUUUACUGUAACUUGAGAUUGAAAUUGGACUUUAUCUGCGCAGUAUAGGUGGGAGACGUUGAAAAUAUUCUUGCGGGAAUAUUGGAGUCAUCAGUGAGACACCACUCUUAUAAUGUUAGAUUUCUAACUUUGUAUCAUUAUCUGGUCAAAGAACAGUUUCAGGCGGGCAGUUUGACUGGGGCGGUCGCCUCCCAAACGGUAACGGAGGCGCACAAAGGUUUCCUCUGAACGUGUAGAAAUCGUAUCUAGAGUGUAAAGGCAUAAGGAAGCUUGACUGUGAGACCUACAAGUCGAGCAGGGACGAAAGUCGGUCUUAGUGAUCUGACGGUGCUGAGUGGAAAGGCCGUCACUCAACGGAUAAAAGUUACUCUAAGGAUAACAGGCUGAUCUCCCCCAAGAGUUCACACCGACGGGGAGGUUUGGCCCCUCGAUGUCGGCUCAUCGCAUCCUGGGGCGGUAGUACGUCCCAAGGGUUGGGCUGUUCGCCCAUGAAAGCGGUACGCGAGCUGGGUUCAGAACGUCGUGAGACAGUUCGGUCCAUAUCCGGUGUAGGCGUUAGAAUAUUGAGAGGAGCCUUCUUUAGUACGAGAGGACCGAGAAGGACAUACCUCUGGUGUACCAGUUAUCGUGCCAACGGUAAACGCUGGGUAGCCAUGUAUGGAGAGGAUAACCGCUGAAAGCAUCUAAGUGGGAAGCCCACCUCAAGAUAAG
RNAcentral lists this ribosomal RNA (1237 nucleotides) under metagenome. Its description in RNAcentral is "bacterial LSU rRNA". It matches the Rfam family "Bacterial large subunit ribosomal RNA", at positions 1564 to 2808 of the family's 2925-position model. The record is from RNAcentral.